GAUGAACGCUAGCGGCAGGCUUAACACAUGCAAGUCGAGGGGUAUAGGUUUUCGGACCUAGAGACCGGCGCACGGGUGCGUAACGCGUAUGCAAUCUACCUUUUGCAGAGGGAUAGCCCAGAGAAAUUUGGAUUAAUACCUCAUAGUAUAUGGACUUCGCAUGGAGACCAUAUUAAAGUUCCAACGGCAAAAGAUGAGCAUGCGUCCCAUUAGCUAGAUGGUAAGGUAACGGCUUACCAUGGCUACGAUGGUAGGGGUCCUGAGAGGGAGAUCCCCACACUGGUACUGAGACACGGACCAGACUCCUACGGAGGCGAGCAGUGAGGAAUAUUGGA
This 335-nucleotide ribosomal RNA is filed under the name uncultured bacterium. RNAcentral's name for it is "bacterial SSU rRNA". It matches the Rfam family "Bacterial small subunit ribosomal RNA", at positions 28 to 368 of the family's 1533-position model. The record is from RNAcentral.